Molecule: long non-coding RNA, 1929 nt
Organism: Tripterygium wilfordii
Lineage: Eukaryota; Viridiplantae; Streptophyta; Magnoliopsida; Celastrales; Celastraceae
Exons: 4
Source: RefSeq, a predicted model, not a curated record
UCAGAUUUAUGCAAAUUGAAUUUGUGAACCUAGGUUAUUGACUGUAUUUUCUUCGGUGAAUGCUUUAGAUACUGGAGAAACGGUUUCUAUUCGAUGUCAUGCUGAACUUGAUCCUUCAAUCAUAUCGUCAUCUUAGACAGGCUUUGCUGAAUCUUUUGUUCUUGUGUAAAAUGGCGAUAUUUUUUUCAAUGUUAUGGCAGAUUACAGGGUUAUAAGUCAACUUUGUUGACUGUUUGAAGCAAAGAGUAGAUAAAAAAGAAGUGUUUUGCAUAAGCUGGAUAAUAAUCAUGAUAAAAGAUUAUUGCGUUGGUUACUCAAAGAGCAUUUAUAUUUCCAUUCGCUAGACAAUGGGGAAUUGAGUUAUUUGAUGAUCCAACUCCUUAGCCACCUCUUGAUCAGAAUCCAUCCGAGCUUGGAAGAUGUCAGAGCUUAAAACCAUAGCAAUACAACAUGCACAACUGUUAAUUAGUGGGUAUAUGCUGCUUGUAUUGGCAAUUUUCAAAGCAAGCCUUUUCUUUUCCUCUCUCUACUUUCAGCAAAAUGAUAUCCUUAGAUAUGAUCAUCCUUUUGGCCCUUCACACACUGAUUAGGAAUAAAUUCAUUCAGCUUUGUUAAGUUGUAGUUUGUCUUGAAGAGUAUUAUUAUCUUUAACUUGUGCUGAUCAUACAUAUAUAGAAUUAUGCUCUGUUUCGUGUAAUAAGCAUCUCUUGACGUCAAGGACUUGGCAAUUGAAUCAAUUAGCAGAAACUGUCAGAGCGGAUUUGAUUUAUUUGACUGGAGAUUUGUUUUGGUAAGCUCACUUAUUUGGCCCACAUAUUGAUCCCAGCUUCCCUGAUUUGUUUUUUCUGUGUGAAGAGAGCGGUUGCUGAUUAUUUAGAAAUUGGUUGCAUGGAUUUUAAGCAACAGUGAAUUGUGUGUUCCAAAUUAGCCAGAUUAUGUUGGUUAGCAUUGAGUAGGCAUUCCUUGUUACUUGGAGCCGGUUUCAAUGACAGGUUGUUGAACUCAACAUUAAACAUUUUCUGAAUUAUUUCCUAGUUUGAUAUGAUUUGAUCUUAUCGAGAACCAUAUUCUUUGCUAAAUCAUAUUGUGAUUGCAAAAAUUUAUUGUAUCUUGUUCCUAAUGAGUACUUCUACUUGCACGUGAUCGAAGACUGGCAAGAACUGUGAGUAUCUGAUCUGCACGAAGCAGUUUGUUAUCAAAAGUUAGAGAUCUUAAUAUUUUGUUUUAUAUUGUUUUACGUUGUCUUCUAUUAAUAACACUUGUACCAAAAUGGCAAAGGGCAGAACUGCAGGUGUGGGAGAUGGCAGGCAGCAUAGUUAUAAUUGGUUCUAACAUUGAGGUACUGCUUGUCCUCCAUUUUAGGUUACUCAAGCAAGAAUAGGGUCUUCUGUGAAUGAUCUUCGCAAUGCACGAUGAUCUACAAAAUCUAUUAAAUCUUCUGGGUUGGAUACUGUGAAGGUUUUGCCCAUUGGUAUCUUCCAUAUGCGGUCAGUGAUUUCUCAACAUAGCCACAUCAAACCUGCUGGUGUCUUUCAUUAUUGGUCAGAAGUGCGUGGCGAGUGGGACUAGAUGGUCAUUAUCCUCCGAUCUUGGAUAAUAUUUUUGGAAUUUUUGUGGAGAUCUGUGGAUACCUGAUGAGGAAAUGAAAACAUCAAAUCUGUACAACCUUGGAGUUGGCUCAUUGAGACCCAGAGGCCACAGAAGCCGUUUUUACUGAGAUGCAAGUUUGAACUUCAAAUUCUGCUGCUUCAUUCCAGAGGGGAUGUAGGCGGAUUCGGGUAUGUCCUCCUAUUUGUCCAAUCCCAACCGUCGGUCCCUCUAAUCCAAAGGUCAAAAGGGAAGUUCAAUGACCUUGUUAUUUUAUUGAAUGGAAGUCGACUUUUCUAUUAAUUAAGCAAUAAUACCACCAUCAACAACUUUUCUUCCCUA